Molecule: ribosomal RNA, 2928 nt
Filed under: Salmonella enterica subsp. enterica
Lineage: Bacteria; Pseudomonadati; Pseudomonadota; Gammaproteobacteria; Enterobacterales; Enterobacteriaceae
Also listed under: 1 other name
Description: 23S ribosomal RNA
Rfam family: Bacterial large subunit ribosomal RNA
Source: RNAcentral
GGGUUGUGAGGUUAAGCGACUAAGCGUACACGGUGGAUGCCCUGGCAGUCAGAGGCGAUGAAGGGCGUGCUAAUCUGCGAUAAGCGCCGGUAAGGUGAUAUGAACCGUUAUAACCGGCGAUACCCGAAUGGGGAAACCCAGUGUGAUUCGUCACACUAUCAUUAACUGAAUCCAUAGGUUAAUGAGGCGAACCGGGGGAACUGAAACAUCUAAGUACCCCGAGGAAAAGAAAUCAACCGAGAUUCCCCCAGUAGCGGCGAGCGAACGGGGAGGAGCCCAGAGCCUGAAUCAGCAUGUGUGUUAGUGGAAGCGUCUGGAAAGGCGCGCGAUACAGGGUGACAGCCCCGUACACAAAAGCGCAUGUGCUGUGAGCUCGAUGAGUAGGGCGGGACACGUGGUAUCCUGUCUGAAUAUGGGGGGACCAUCCUCCAAGGCUAAAUACUCCUGACUGACCGAUAGUGAACCAGUACCGUGAGGGAAAGGCGAAAAGAACCCCGGCGAGGGGAGUGAAAAAGAACCUGAAACCGUGUACGUACAAGCAGUGGGAGCACAGGUUUACCUGUGUGACUGCGUACCUUUUGUAUAAUGGGUCAGCGACUUAUAUUCUGUAGCAAGGUUAACCGUAUAGGGGAGCCGUAGGGAAACCGAGUCUUAACCGGGCGUUAAGUUGCAGGGUAUAGACCCGAAACCCGGUGAUCUAGCCAUGGGCAGGUUGAAGGUUGGGUAACACUAACUGGAGGACCGAACCGACUAAUGUUGAAAAAUUAGCGGAUGACCUGUGGCUGGGGGUGAAAGGCCAAUCAAACCGGGAGAUAGCUGGUUCUCCCCGAAAGCUAUUUAGGUAGCGCCUCGUGAAUUCAUCUCCGGGGGUAGAGCACUGUUUCGGCUAGGGGGCCAUCCCGGCUUACCAACCCGAUGCAAACUGCGAAUACCGGAGAAUGUUAUCACGGGAGACACACGGCGGGUGCUAACGUCCGUCGUGAAGAGGGAAACAACCCAGACCGCCAGCUAAGGUCCCAAAGUCAUGGUUAAGUGGGAAACGAUGUGGGAAGGCCCAGACAGCCAGGAUGUUGGCUUAGAAGCAGCCAUCAUUUAAAGAAAGCGUAAUAGCUCACUGGUCGAGUCGGCCUGCGCGGAAGAUGUAACGGGGCUAAACCAUGCACCGAAGCUGCGGCAGCGACACUAUGUGUUGUUGGGUAGGGGAGCGUUCUGUAAGCCUGUGAAGGUGUGUCGUGAGGCAUGCUGGAGGUAUCAGAAGUGCGAAUGCUGACAUAAGUAACGAUAAAGCGGGUGAAAAGCCCGCUCGCCGGAAGACCAAGGGUUCCUGUCCAACGUUAAUCGGGGCAGGGUGAGUCGACCCCUAAGGCGAGGCCGAAAGGCGUAGUCGAUGGGAAACGGGUUAAUAUUCCCGUACUUGGUGUUACUGCGAAGGGGGGACGGAGAAGGCUAUGUUGGCCGGGCGACGGUUGUCCCGGUUUAAGCGUGUAGGUGUGUGUUCCAGGUAAAUCCGGUUCACUUUAACACUGAGGCGUGAUGACGAGGCACUACGGUGCUGAAGCAACAAAUGCCCUGCUUCCAGGAAAAGCCUCUAAGCAUCAGGUAACAUCAAAUCGUACCCCAAACCGACACAGGUGGUCAGGUAGAGAAUACCAAGGCGCUUGAGAGAACUCGGGUGAAGGAACUAGGCAAAAUGGUGCCGUAACUUCGGGAGAAGGCACGCUGACACGUAGGUGAAGUGAUUUACUCAUGGAGCUGAAGUCAGUCGAAGAUACCAGCUGGCUGCAACUGUUUAUUAAAAACACAGCACUGUGCAAACACGAAAGUGGACGUAUACGGUGUGACGCCUGCCCGGUGCCGGAAGGUUAAUUGAUGGGGUCAGCGCAAGCGAAGCUCCUGAUCGAAGCCCCGGUAAACGGCGGCCGUAACUAUAACGGUCCUAAGGUAGCGAAAUUCCUUGUCGGGUAAGUUCCGACCUGCACGAAUGGCGUAAUGAUGGCCAGGCUGUCUCCACCCGAGACUCAGUGAAAUUGAACUCGCUGUGAAGAUGCAGUGUACCCGCGGCAAGACGGAAAGACCCCGUGAACCUUUACUAUAGCUUGACACUGAACAUUGAGCCUUGAUGUGUAGGAUAGGUGGGAGGCUUUGAAGCGUGGACGCCAGUCUGCGUGGAGCCGACCUUGAAAUACCACCCUUUAAUGUUUGAUGUUCUAACGUGGACCCGUAAUCCGGGUUGCGGACAGUGUCUGGUGGGUAGUUUGACUGGGGCGGUCUCCUCCUAAAGAGUAACGGAGGAGCACGAAGGUUGGCUAAUCCUGGUCGGACAUCAGGAGGUUAGUGCAAUGGCAUAAGCCAGCUUGACUGCGAGCGUGACGGCGCGAGCAGGUGCGAAAGCAGGUCAUAGUGAUCCGGUGGUUCUGAAUGGAAGGGCCAUCGCUCAACGGAUAAAAGGUACUCCGGGGAUAACAGGCUGAUACCGCCCAAGAGUUCAUAUCGACGGCGGUGUUUGGCACCUCGAUGUCGGCUCAUCACAUCCUGGGGCUGAAGUAGGUCCCAAGGGUAUGGCUGUUCGCCAUUUAAAGUGGUACGCGAGCUGGGUUUAGAACGUCGUGAGACAGUUCGGUCCCUAUCUGCCGUGGGCGCUGGAGAACUGAGGGGGGCUGCUCCUAGUACGAGAGGACCGGAGUGGACGCAUCACUGGUGUUCGGGUUGUCAUGCCAAUGGCACUGCCCGGUAGCUAAAUGCGGAAGAGAUAAGUGCUGAAAGCAUCUAAGCACGAAACUUGCCCCGAGAUGAGUUCUCCCUGAGACUUAGAGUCUCCUGAAGGAACGUUGAAGACGACGACGUUGAUAGGCCGGGUGUGUAAGCGCAGCGAUGCGUUGAGCUAACCGGUACUAAUGAACCGUGAGGCUUAACCUUACAACGCCGAAG